RNAcentral lists this ribosomal RNA (497 nucleotides) under uncultured bacterium. RNAcentral describes it as "partial 16S ribosomal RNA". It matches the Rfam family "Bacterial small subunit ribosomal RNA", at positions 28 to 507 of the family's 1533-position model. The record is from RNAcentral.
GAUGAACGCUGGCGGCGUGCCUAAUACAUGCAAGUCGAGCGAACAGAUGAGGAACUUGCUCCUCUGACGUUAGCGGCGGACGGGUGAGUAACACGUGGUUAACCUACCUAUAAGACUGGGAUAACUUCGGGAAACCGGCGCUAAUACCGGAUAAUAUAUUGAACCGCAUGGUUCAAUAGUAAAAGACGGUUUUGCUGUCACUUAUAGAUGGAUCCGCGCCGCAUUAGCUAGUUGGUAAGGUAACGGCUUACCAAGGCAACGAUGCGUAGCCGACCUGAGAGGGUGAUCGGCCACACUGGAACGGAGACACGGUCCAGACUCCUACGGGAGGCAGCAGUAGUGAAUCUUCCGCAAUGGGCGAAAGCCUGACGGAGCAACGCCGCGGGAGGGAUGAAGGUCUUCGGAUCGUAAAACUCUGUUAUUAGGGAAGAACAAAUGUGUAAGUAACUAUGCACGUCUUGACGGUACCUAAUCAGAAAGCCACGGCUAACUACGUG